RNAcentral lists this ribosomal RNA (468 nucleotides) under uncultured bacterium. RNAcentral describes it as "partial 16S ribosomal RNA". It matches the Rfam family "Bacterial small subunit ribosomal RNA", at positions 28 to 507 of the family's 1533-position model. The record is from RNAcentral.
GACGAACGCUGGCGGCGUGCUUAACACAUGCAAGUCGAACGGAAAGGCCCUGCUUUUGUGGGGUGCUCGAGUGGCGAACGGGUGAGUAACACGUAAGUACCCUGUCCUUGAGUUUGGGAUAACUUAAGGACACUGGGGCUAAUACCGGAUAGGAGCUCCUGCUGCAUGGUGGGGGUUGGAAAGUUUCGGCGGUUGGGGAUGGACGCGCGGCCCAUCAGCUUGAUGGUGGGGUAGUGGCUUACCAAGGCUUUGAAGGGUAGCCGGCCUGAGCGGGUGAACGGCCACAUUGGGACUGAGAUGCGGCCCAGACUCCUACGGGAGGCAGCAGUGGGGAAUAUUGUACAAUGGGCGGAAGCCUGAUGCAGCAACGCCGCGUGCGGGAUGUCGGCCUUCGGGUUGUAAACCACUUUCGCCUGUGACGAAGCGUGAGUGACGGUAAUGGGUAAAGAAGCACCGGCUAACUACGUG